UUGCGUGCCUUUGCGCCAGAUGUUGCUUUUUGUUACAGCGACUAGAGAGCUUUUCCAUUUUGGGAGCCCCCCUUGCCUCCAUCAGUUUUUUUUUUUUUCUCUUUUCAUCUCUGACGUCAAUGCUUCCAGCCCGUCUCACAGUGAAAGGGUUUUCCCGCUUAGUGCCUCCUGAGAGCUGCCCCGCUUUUUCACAGGUCACUUGUGUAGAAAUUGCGAAUCAGCUUCCUGACUGACUUGCCAGCUUCCCCGUCUCCUUUGUUAGAGCCCGGUGAAAUGGCAGAGUGCACACGAACCGAUGGCGUCAGCAGGAUAUGCGCUCACUUCCUUUGAACAAAAAGCUUGUUCCUGUCAUUUGACUCGAGGCUAUACAAUAACGUUGGAAACAAAUGAGCAGCUUGGAGGUGAGAGACGGCGUCAGUAGCGUGAAAGCCUUUGGGAAGAUUUGAAAUCUAUUAGACAAUCAGCCUGACGGGAUCUGAAUACGUGACACGGAGGAGGACUGAUGAAAGCAACAAAAAGGGAGGAAAUAUAAGACAAACAAAGGGACUAAGCUUUCAGUCCUGAGUGUUAAUUACCACAUCAUCUGUAUGACUGCAAGGCUGCUGCACGACUGCCUAUACCCUGCGUCCCCAACCUACGUCUCUGCCCUCCGUCCAGCUUGUGCAAACACACCCAACCUACAUGAAAAAGCUUUCACACACACACACACACACACACACGAGCACGCGUAUGGUUUCUGCAAUCUUGUAUAACCCACAGUUCAGAGAAAUGAAAGGCCGACUUGUAAACAGACCGAUGACUGUUGGCUGCAUUGUGGAGCCGGUGCAGCUGACGUCAGCCAGACCUGAUGACUUCAUGUGUCCGCUGCCGCCCGAGGAGGUGACAGACAGUUCGACGGAGGAAGGUGACACCGAAUAAACGAGCUGCGCAACUCAGAAACAAGGAGCUGAGAGGGGGAGACGCUCUGACGAGGCAACGCUGGUUGAAACCAAAUGCUUAUUGGCGCGUUAUUAAAUCGCUACUACCAUGGCGCUGGUAGACGAAUUAGCACCACAUCACAGUGACAGACGGUUUCCCUCAGCAUCAGACAUCAAAACAUAGGGUAUGGGUGGGCGUUCAGCUUUGCUUUCCUUAAUCGUUUUCCCUGUACGCUUCUGUUUUUUUAGGUGUUAAUUUUGGGUGUGUGACAGAAAGGGGAAUGAGAAUUAGCAUACACUCUUCUGUUUAGCAACAA
Long non-coding RNA from Poecilia latipinna (sailfin molly), 1234 nucleotides. RefSeq lists it as uncharacterized. The record is from RefSeq and is a predicted model, not a curated record. Lineage: Eukaryota; Metazoa; Chordata; Actinopteri; Cyprinodontiformes; Poeciliidae. The transcript has 2 exons.